AAUCACCUGAGAAAUGUCUUCACUUGAAGCCGGCCAUUGAAAUGAAAGAUUCUGUUCCAAAUAAAGCAGUAGCAGUGGAGGAUUUAAAGACAUGCAAAUCAGGGAUCCACAGAGCUUAUUACAAGAUUUCAAGAUGAUUUCAAAGUUGGCAGAUGCUCACUGGAGAGCUGGGCCCUGUGGUGCAGGCCUGAGUCCUGGUUACUCAGCAAGUUGUGGCAAGAGGUUCCUUGGUACCCAAGAUCCCUUUUCUAAAACAACAAAAACUGCUUACUGUAAUUCUGAUAUUUACCUAGAGUAAAGCUCUGCUUGCUAACAUGUCAACUGUGUUUCAACUUAAUCAUUUAAUCUGUGUCAAUAUAAUGAUGAUCGUAAGCAUAUAGAUGUUCUCAUUAACAGACUGUAUGAGUAUAUAUGUAUGGUAUAUCAUAUCUUUGAUUAUUAAAAAUGGGAAAUAUAAUCAUUCUGUUUGGUUUUUUUUUGGUACUGGGGAUCAAACUCUGGACCUUGCACUUGCAAGGCAGGUGGUGGAACCACUGAGCUAAAUCGCUGGCCCCGAUCAUUCCUUAAUGACUAUUUGGUAGACACAGUCCUUCAAGACAGUGAUUCUGAAACUCUUUAGCCAUAGUAUUAAAAAUUAGUACAGAUUCUAUGGAACUUUUGUUUAAAUACAUUCACUCUAUUGACAUUUACUCUACUAGAAAUUA
This is a non-coding RNA of Heterocephalus glaber (naked mole-rat), 704 nucleotides long. Lineage: Eukaryota; Metazoa; Chordata; Mammalia; Rodentia; Bathyergidae. The record is from RefSeq and is a predicted model, not a curated record.